GAUGAACGCUGGCGGCGUGCCUAAUACAUGCAAGUCGAGCGAACAGACGAGGCGCUUGCUCCUUCGACGUUAGCGGCGGACGGGUGAGUAACACGUAGGUAACCUACCUAUAAGACUGGGAUAACUUCGGGAAACCGGAGCUAAUACCGGAUAAUAUUUCGAACCGCAUGGUUCGAUAGUGAAAGAUGGCUUUGAUAUCACUUAUAGAUGGACCUGCGCCGUAUUAGCUAGUUGGUAAGGUAACGGCUUACCAAGGCAACGAUACGUAGCCGACCUGAGAGGGUGAUCGGCCACACUGGAACUGAGACACGGUCCAGACUCCUACGGGAGGCAGCAGUAGGGAAUCUGCCGCAAAGGGCGAAAGCCUGACGGAGCAACGCCGCGUGAGUGAUGAAGGUCUUCGGAUCGUAAAACUCUGUUAUUAGGGAAGAACAAACGUGUAAGUAACUGUGCACGUCUUGACGGUACCUAAUCAGAAAGCCACGGCUAACUACGUG
This 497-nucleotide ribosomal RNA is filed under the name uncultured bacterium. Its description in RNAcentral is "partial 16S ribosomal RNA". It matches the Rfam family "Bacterial small subunit ribosomal RNA", at positions 28 to 507 of the family's 1533-position model. The record is from RNAcentral.